Molecule: ribosomal RNA, 253 nt
Filed under: uncultured bacterium
Lineage: Bacteria
Description: partial 16S ribosomal RNA
Rfam family: Bacterial small subunit ribosomal RNA
Source: RNAcentral
UACGUAGGGUGCAAGCGUUGUCCGGAUUUACUGGGUUUAAAGGGUGCGUAGGCGGGGCGGUAAGUCGGUGAUGAAAUGCGGGAGCUCAACUCCACGCCUGUUACCGAUACUGCCAUCCUUGAGAAUGGAUGAGGUGGCUGGAAUGAGUGGUGUAGCGGUGAAAUGCGUAGAGAUCACUCAGAACACCAAUUGCGAAGGCAGGUCACUAAACCAUAUCUGACGCUGAGGCACGAAAGCGUGGGGAGCAAACAGG